This 103-nucleotide small nuclear RNA is filed under the name Dasypus novemcinctus (nine-banded armadillo). The record is from RNAcentral. Lineage: Eukaryota; Metazoa; Chordata; Mammalia; Cingulata; Dasypodidae.
UUGCUUCAGCAGCACAUAUAUUAAAAUUGGAAUGAUACAGAGAAGAUUAGCAUGGCCCAUGCACAAGGAUGACACACAAAUUCAUGCAGUGUUCCAUAUUUUU